Molecule: small RNA, 28 nt
Filed under: Bombyx mori (domestic silkworm)
Lineage: Eukaryota; Metazoa; Arthropoda; Insecta; Lepidoptera; Bombycidae
Description: ovarian small RNA-31296
Source: RNAcentral
UGACAACCAGCUCCGUGUUGAUGAGCCU